AAAAAAAAAAAAGAUUAUGGUUAUUAAUUCUUUUGUCAGUUUAUCUGAAUUUAGGAUAUAUAGAAGCCUAUUCCUAGGGACACCUAGAGCCCUAUCUAGCCAGUGUGUCCUAACAUUAGCAUCAGGUUGGCGUUGCAGUUUCUUUCAGUGAAUUUAAUAAUUUGUGCCAUUAAAUGUCACUCGUCACUAUGGCAUAAUGUUGUAUCCAGAAACUAGUAUUUUUAAUGCAGUCUUAUUCUUGCGAUGGUACAUAAACCAGGGACCUAGUGUAGAAUUCAGCUGUGUGCGAGAUGAGGGCGGGGGAGGUUUUUGUUCUUAAGUGAUAACUGUAAGUAGAUGUGAAAUUCUAAGGAGCUAUCAUGUGAAAUAAUAUAGGGUUGCUGUGCUACUGUAUAAUGGGGAACCAUAAUACCAGGAAUUUUAAUAAGAUUUUGUAAAGAAUGUCCAGAAAAAGUGGUGAAUUUAUUUUCAGACUGAAAUAGAAAACAAUGUGAAUAUUUAAGGUCUGCAACUACACUUAAUAAACUUCACUAAGAAUUUGGGAGUUUGUUCUGAGAUGUUGUGGAAAUAAAGGUAAUUUUGUUGAAUCUUUAUAAUUGGUGCUAAUUAUGGAAGGUUCUAAAAUAGCUAGUGUAUCUUGUUAUGGUCUAAUACUCGUUGGUACUUCCACAGAAUUAAACUUGAAGUGCUAUGUAUUCACUUUUCACUCUGUAAAUGUAACUAUACAAUGACUUUAUUUAUUAAAAGGCAGCCAGUUGUAAUUUUUACAACACUGUGUGAGCUAUUCAGACUCCUUAACCUCUAUUCUUUCCCUGAACACUUUAUAUAAGGAGGUAAUAACCUCCAUCAACAACUACAAGGGGAAUAAAUGUGUAAAUCCUUAAACUUCAUUUCAUCAAAUGAAAGUCCAUGGAAUUAAAUGACUUGUAUUUUCUUUUUGCAGAUCUUUUCUCUUUCCAUAAAUAAAAUCCAUCAGUCAGUCUGCCUGUUUAGUAGGCUCUACCAAAGAAUAAGACUUCCUUGGUUUCUAGUAAAUGGAAGUCAUUACUAAGUCUUCCUCUAAGCAGUGGUAAACUAAGAUAUCAUAAUUUAUUUAGGUAUAGCAUUCCACAUGCACAUGGUGAUGUAUAAAGUUAAGGUGAUUGGUAAGAUUUUUUUUAAUUGUUGAAAUAUUAUUAAAAUGUAUUCUCUUUAA
This 1195-nucleotide long non-coding RNA is filed under the name Sarcophilus harrisii (Tasmanian devil). Its description in RNAcentral is "lncRNA (ENSSHAG00000027364.1)". Lineage: Eukaryota; Metazoa; Chordata; Mammalia; Dasyuromorphia; Dasyuridae. The record is from RNAcentral.